AUAAUACUCCAUAGAUUAGAGACACUGGAAUGUUCUUUAGUCGAAAGUUCUGGCGCCUUAGGAUGGAUCUGCGGUCGAUUAGGUUGUUGUUGGGGUAACGGCCCAACAAGCCUGUAAUCGAUACGGGUUGUGGGAGCAAGAGCCCGGAGAUGGAAUCUGAGACACGAUUCCAGGCCCUACGGGGCGCAGCAGGCGCGAAAACUUUACAAUGCAGGAAACUGUGAUAAGGGAACUCCGAGUGCCCGUAUACGCGGGCUGUCCAGGUGUUUAAAAAUCAUCUGAAGAAAGGGCCGGGCAAGACCGGUGCCAGCCGCCGCGGUAAUACCGGCGGCUCGAGUGGUGGCCACUAUUAUUGGGCUUAAAGCGUCCGUAGCUGGACCGAUAAGUCUCUUGGGAAAUCCGCCGGCUCAACCGGCGGGCGUCUAAGGGAUACUGUUAGUCUAGGGACCGGGAGAGGUGAGAGGUACUCCGGGGGUAGGAGUGAAAUCCUGUAAUCCCCGGGGGACCACCGAUGGCGAAGGCAUCUCACCAGAACGGCUCCGACAGUGAGGGACGAAAAGCUGGGGGAGCGAACCGGAUUAGAUACCCGGGUAGUCCCAGCCGUAAACUAUGCGCGUUAGGUGU
RNAcentral lists this ribosomal RNA (624 nucleotides) under uncultured archaeon. RNAcentral describes it as "bacterial SSU rRNA". It matches the Rfam family "Archaeal small subunit ribosomal RNA", at positions 146 to 774 of the family's 1478-position model. The record is from RNAcentral.